CCCUGCAAUAGUUCAGGCGAUAAUUGUUGGUACUUCAGUUGUUCGCUUUGCUCUGCUACCUUCCCACAAUUCAUUUGGUAAUUAUUGGUAUUUCGGUUGAUCCUUGAGGCAUUGAGGAGGGGGAAAACGAUUAAGGAGGAGAUGGGGCUGUACAUGGAGAGAUUUUGCUGCUAUCUAGCUAGAAGCAUCCUCAGUUACUUUAAAAUCAGCGAUCAAAAUGUUAGAGUGGGUUUUCGAUGUUGGCAAUGGUGAUAUUUUAGGACACUCCACAGGUGGGGAGGACUCCGGUUCCUGGAUAACAAUUCCUGAAGAUCUUGUGUUGCAUCCGACUUCCAGUAAUGUGGAUGCAGCCAUUCAGAGUGUUUAUGAUUCUUUCUUUUUCAGUUAUACUUCUGCUGAUUAUCUUGCACAACGUUCUAUUGUGUGUCCAACAAAUACAGUUGAUGAGAUUAAUGAUUCAGUAUUUCAGCUUGCGCUGGGAAGCUUCAGAGCAUGAGCUUAAUUUGAAGGUUGGCGUCCUGGUGAUGCUUCUUAGAAACAUUAACCAGUCACUGGGCUUGUGUAAUGGUACUCGGCUACUGAUUAUAUGGCUUGGCGGAAAAGUUCUGGAAGGGGAAAUAAUUAGUGGCUUGCAUAGAGGCAGGUGUGUCUAUUCCGAGAAUUGUUCUGAAUUCUGUUGAUUUGAAGUGGCCAUUUACUUCACAACGGUGCCAGUUCCCGGUUCUUUAAUGCUAAAGUAUCACUAUUAACAAGAGUGA
Molecule: long non-coding RNA, 758 nt
Organism: Lolium rigidum
Lineage: Eukaryota; Viridiplantae; Streptophyta; Magnoliopsida; Poales; Poaceae
Exons: 4
Source: RefSeq, a predicted model, not a curated record